UUGGAAAUGCAGCUUUAUUCACAAAGUUAAUAAAUUGAACAAACUAUAGUGUCAGUUGGAAAAGAAAACUGACCAAUUUGGGACAGCUAGAUUCUUACAAUGUCAGUAUUUUUAUUCUCUACCAUGCAUACUCUGGAAAUAAUCAGUCCAAAGGCCUAUAUACAUUCUAAUCAACUUGAUCCAAAACUCGCCCUGACUUUCACUAUUUAUGUACUUCACAGUUGUCAUGCACAGUGUGGUCAACAUCAUCAUCAGAGUGGAUCCUGUAACAGUAUUAACUCACAAUAUCAUCAAGCCUAAACUUUCCAUCCCACCAAAUCUUUGCACUAAUGUUCUAGUUCAUUCUUCUGAUGCACGAAAGCAAACCUUCUCAAGUUGCAUUGGCCACUCUUCUCCAAGAAUCUUAGGGUUUAGUUCCAUUGUAAGCCGAAAAUCUAACAUGGAUACUGUAGUGGACCCAUUUGGUUUCUGAAAAUAUCUCACAGGCCGCACCCCAUUCAAACCAGAUAUGAAUCGAAUCUGUCCUUGACCUGUAUGUUUGUGUCCAGAUCUUGAACCAGCUAAAUCCAUACAGGGUUUUAUCAAUCUCUUCAAAUAAACAUCCAAGCUGUUAUUUAACAAAUUGGCACAAUCCACUGAAACUUUUAUUCCUUCCAUUUCUAACUUUUGCUCCAACCUUUUCCUUAAAGAAUUGGAAUCAGGUAAUUCACCACUACUCUGACAUGUCCCCAUACGAUAAGAAGAUGCCAAGCGAUUACACAGUACUUUUCGUGCCCCUUUAGUGUUCAAAGGGACGCCAAGAGGAGCUCUAACAGGACUCCUACUAUAAAUGCUAGGGCUUCCAGCAGCCUGAUCAACCUCUUCUCCAUCUUCCACAGAGCCUGGAGGUCUGCUGCCCAAAGAAAGCAGCUCAGUGGCACUCUGUUGUUCUUGGUUUUUAGGGAUAGAAUCUUCAAAAGCAAUACUGUGGCUCUUCCCAUGAGGGCCAAGAGGACUAGGACGAUCCCUGAACUUGCGUUCACUAAGAACUGACCUCCCCUUACGAGGAGAUUGGAGAAAAUCUCUGCAUAGGGACUGAAGACUACUUUUUUGAUACCCAUUAGGCACUUUGACACCUAAAGCACCUUCAGCUUUACUCUCCUUUGGCAGGGUAGUCUUCGAGAACUGUGCAUUUUUGAUAAUUGAUCUGAGGAGAAGAUUAUGAAGACGUACAUUUUCCCUCCCUAUUGUACCAAUGCAGAGUCUAUCAAAAUCAGAUUUGCUAAUCUUAAGACUCAGAAACUUUGUGAGGAGAUCAAAAUACUUCUGUGCUUUUGGGUGCCCAAGCUUCCUCUCAAUCUCCAAUUUCAGCUCUGCUGUGUCUAUCCGGGUAAAAUGAUGAGCUGCCGGCAUUUUAGUUUCGAAACUCCUCACUAGCAAUCAUCAAGAACAAAACAAAAUAAUAAUGUUAUGCUAAAAACCACUGCAUCGGAAAUUAUUACAACACAACUUUCCUAAGAAAAAUCGCAUAACACGAAAAAUUCUCAAAUCCAAACAGACAUAUGCCAAUAGCAAGCUUGUUAGUUCUAUUAGAACCCCGAAAACCUAAGUUCAUCUGUUUCUAGCAAAUCACUUUCCGCCAAGUAAAGUCAACAGUAGAAGCUAAUCCAAGAAAAAUAACUAAAUUCUAGAACGAAAGAAACAAAACCUGUAUCGAAAUUAACCGCAAAACACGAUUUUCAACUUCAUUUUGCUCAUUAUUGCUUCAAUUCAAUUACUUGUUCACCAAAUCAAAGCAAUACAAAAUACAUAAAAAGUCUUCAGCCCCCAACUUCGAUUUCACAUAGACAAACAAAGAAACCAAUAAAAUUUUCCAAACUUCCAAGGUAAAUUGGAGCUCGACACAACUCUCUAUUGAAAAAUUGACCAGUAAAAGAAAGAAAAAAUAGAGAAAACUGAGCAAGGCAAUCCAGACAUUGAAACAAAGAAAGAAAACAAAUGAUGUAAAGAAGAAGAGAAAGGCCAAGUUAAAUUGAAGAAGUAC
Molecule: unclassified non-coding RNA, 2023 nt
Filed under: Hevea brasiliensis (rubber tree)
Lineage: Eukaryota; Viridiplantae; Streptophyta; Magnoliopsida; Malpighiales; Euphorbiaceae
Source: RNAcentral